AGUUUCUAAGUUUAGCUAAUGUUGCCCGUACCGUAAACCGACACAGGUGGGUGGGAUGAGUAUUCUAAGGCGCGUGGAAGAACUCUCUUUAAGGAACUCUGCAAAAUAGCACCGUAUCUUCGGUAUAAGGUGUGGUUAGCUUUGUAUUAGGAUUUACUCCGAAAGCAAGGAAACUUACAACAAAGAGUCCCUCCCGACUGUUUACCAAAAACACAGCACUCUGCUAACUCGUAAGAGGAUGUAUAGGGUGUGACGCCUGCCCGGUGCUCGAAGGUUAAUUGAUGGGGUUAGCAUUAGCGAAGCUCUUGAUCGAAGCCCGAGUAAACGGCGGCCGUAACUAUAACGGUCCUAAGGUAGCGAAAUUCCUUGUCGGUUAAAUACCGACCUGCAUGAAUGGCGUAACGAGAUGGGAGCUGUCUCAAAGAGGGAUCCAGUGAAAUUGUAGUGGAGGUGAAAAUUCCUCCUACCCGCGGCAAGACGGAAAGACCCCGUGGACCUUUACUACAGCUUGACACUGCUACUUGGAUAAGAAUGUGCAGGAUAGGUGGGAGGCUUUGAGUAUAUGACGCCAGUUGUAUAUGAGCCAUUGUUGAGAUACCACUCUUUCUUAUUUGGGUAGCUAACCAGCUUGAGUUAUCCUCAAGUGGGACAAUGUCUGGUGGGUAGUUUGACUGGGGCGGUCGCCUCCCAAAUAAUAACGGAGGCUUACAAAGGUUGGCUCAGAACGGUUGGAAAUCGUUCGUAGAGUAUAAAGGUAUAAGCCAGCUUAACUGCAAGACAUACAAGUCAAGCAGAGACGAAAGUCGGUCUUAGUGAUCCGGUGGUUCUGUGUGGAAGGGCCAUCGCUCAAAGGAUAAAAGGUACCCCGGGGAUAACAGGCUGAUCUCCCCCAAGAGCUCACAUCGACGGGGAGGUUUGGCACCUCGAUGUCGGCUCAUCGCAUCCUGGGGCUGGAGCAGGUCCCAAGGGUAUGGCUGUUCGCCAUUUAAAGCGGUACGCGAGCUGGGUUCAGAACGUCGUGAGACAGUUCGGUCCCUAUCUGCCGUGGGCGUAAGAAGAUUGAAGAGAUUUGACCCUAGUACGAGAGGACCGGGUUGAACAAACCACUGGUGUAGCUGUUGUUCUGCCAAGAGCAUCGCAGCGUAGCUAAGUUUGGAAAGGAUAAACGCUGAAAGCAUCUAAGCGUGAAGCCAACUCUAAGAUGAAUCUUCUCUAAGCUCUCUAGAAGACUACUAGUUUGAUAGGCUGGGUGUGUAAUGGAUGAAAGUCCUUUAGCUGACCAGUACUAAUAGAGCGUUUGGCUUAUCUUUAAUAAAGCAU
RNAcentral lists this ribosomal RNA (1320 nucleotides) under Campylobacter jejuni. RNAcentral describes it as "partial 23S ribosomal RNA". It matches the Rfam family "Bacterial large subunit ribosomal RNA", at positions 1616 to 2925 of the family's 2925-position model. The record is from RNAcentral. Lineage: Bacteria; Pseudomonadati; Campylobacterota; Epsilonproteobacteria; Campylobacterales; Campylobacteraceae.